This 71-nucleotide transfer RNA is filed under the name Thermoleophilia bacterium. RNAcentral's name for it is "tRNA-Gln". It matches the Rfam family "tRNA". Rfam says of the family: Transfer RNA (tRNA) molecules are approximately 80 nucleotides in length. The record is from RNAcentral. RNAcentral also lists the same sequence under 2 other names. Lineage: Bacteria; Bacillati; Actinomycetota; Thermoleophilia.
UGGGGGAUCGUCUAAUGGCAGGACGACCGGUUCUGGUCCGGUUAAUCGGGGUUCGAGUCCCUGUCCCCCAG